AACGAACGCUGGCGGCAUGCCUAACACAUGCAAGUCGAACGAGACCUUCGGGUCUAGUGGCGCACGGGUGCGUAACGCGUGGGAACCUGCCCUUAGGUUCGGAAUAACUCCCCGAAAGGGGUGCUAAUACCGGAUAAUGUCUUCGGACCAAAGAUUUAUCGCCUUUGGAUGGGCCCGCGUUGGAUUAGCUAGUUGGUAGGGUAAACGCCUACCAAGGCGACGAUCCAUAGCUGGUCUGAGAGGAUGAUCAGCCACACUGGGACUGAGACACGGCCCAGACUCCUACGGGAGGCAGCAGUGGGGAAUAUUGGACAAUGGGCGAAAGCCUGAGCCAGCAAUGCCGCGUGAGUGAUGAAGGCCUUAGGGUUGUAAAGCUCUUUUACCCGGGAUGAUAAUGACAGUACCGGGAGAAUAAGCUCCGGCGAACUCCGU
This 432-nucleotide ribosomal RNA is filed under the name uncultured bacterium. RNAcentral describes it as "partial 16S ribosomal RNA". It matches the Rfam family "Bacterial small subunit ribosomal RNA", at positions 29 to 506 of the family's 1533-position model. The record is from RNAcentral.